Molecule: long non-coding RNA, 1631 nt
Organism: Metopolophium dirhodum (rose-grain aphid)
Lineage: Eukaryota; Metazoa; Arthropoda; Insecta; Hemiptera; Aphididae
Exons: 3
Source: RefSeq, a predicted model, not a curated record
GCGGUCGCUCGUGGUCAGUACCGAGUUCAAUGUCAAUAUCAGAGGAACCGCAAUCGCCACUGCAAUAGUCAUAUUUCGCGAUCACAGUUCUUGGAUAUUUCGGCGACAGACAUCACAUAGACUUCCGUACGCAACGAUAAUAUUAUAUAGUUUUUGUUUUUUUUUCGCUCGUUUUCCGUCUCGACGUGUCAUCCGUUUCGCAUCCACUACGGUCGCAAUCGUUUCGCAGUCUAUAAUAUUAUAAUAUUCGCGAGUUUCGGCGUUUAUCGUAUUACAGUCGUUAUAAUAUCGUCGCAUACCACACGACACAAUAAUAUAAUAUACCGGCUGAUACCUAGGUAUUUAUACCACGCCUAUUCUCCGCGACACAAUGUACGUGAACCCGUGGAUCAGGAAACACUCGACCAUCAGACAGGUGAUCGACAAGUUGCUGUCGAUCAACACGAACAAGACGAAGAAGUUCGACGCGAUGCUGAACAAGAAAAAGCACACAGGAAGUAACAGGACGACGGCGGCGACGACGACGGCGACGGCGACGGACAAGCGACGCAAGUGUUAGCAUCGGCCGGAAGUGAGACGAAAGUCGUAAAGCGGUUUUAUUUUUUUCGUGACGAGAAGAAUAAUAAGUCCGUCCGAAAAUGUUCCUACCUAUGUAUAAUACUUUAUUAUUACACCAUCGUUCAUAGUACAAAAUAUGAUACGAUAUUUGUAUACCGUCGUUACCGUGGUUAUGCUAUUAUAUAUCUGUCUACGCCGCCGCCGAAGAGAGACGCUGCCGCCCGAAGAAUAUAAUAUAAUAUAAUAUAAUAUACCUAUGACACAUAAUAUAAUAUAAUAUACGUUUGCUAUACGUUUCGAACCCUCGUAUCGUAGUAUAACUAUAGUAUAGUAUUAUUAUCUAUUAUAGCUGUAUAAUAUAAUACAAUAUUAUGUUAUAAUUAUCAAGGCCACAAAUGAAGAUAUUAUGAUAAAUGAUAAUUAUUAUAUGUACGCCGAUUGUAAAUAUAUAUUUAUAUAUAAUAUGCCGCACAAGUACUACACUACGUCUCCACGCCGAGUUCUCGCGAGCUGUUUGUCGGGGUCGUCCGGAUAUAUUAUAAACAAUACAACGUCUGGAGACUGGAACAUAUUAUUAUAAUACGACCGCAUUGUUGUAUACAAUAUGUACUCACACGAUGUAUUCCGCUGCCAGUCCACAUUACCGUCAAUUUAGUCAAAACGGAUUUGGAUUGUAUGCAGAAUAUUAUCAUCACCAUAUUAUCAUCAUCAUCAUUAUAUUAUUUUUAUUAUUAUAAUACCGACUACCACGGAGGCGGAUUCGCGUUCUCGCGGGACGACGACAAGGACGACGCAUCGUCUGCAGCCAUAUCAGAUUUACGUAGAAAUAGAUUAAAAUUGUAUUUGGUUAUACAGUUGAGUCAGAAAACCCAUCGACAUUACGAAUAUUACUCGAAGAUGUACGAGACCACUUUUAUUUAACAUUUUCGACGUAUGUGCUUGUAAUAUUGUUUUUUUAUUUUUACGUGUAAUUUUUUUUUUUUCAUAUUAUUUAAUUAAUUUUAUUGUAUUUGUAUGAAUUUACCACUUUUGCUAUUUUUAUAUAAAAUAUAUUAUAUUUAUUUAAAAAAAUA